This is an RNA transcript of Ctenocephalides felis (cat flea), 1837 nucleotides long. It is a transcript of the gene named beta-1,4-N-acetylgalactosaminyltransferase bre-4, with no coding region annotated. The record is from RefSeq and is a predicted model, not a curated record. The transcript is spliced from 8 exons. Lineage: Eukaryota; Metazoa; Arthropoda; Insecta; Siphonaptera; Pulicidae.
UUGACGAUUGUGAAACAUAUAUGUGAAACGGACUAAUCGUAGCCGUAAAAACUAUGAUAUUAUUUGCAAAUAUCAAUAUUUAAUUAAUUCAUUGUCAUUUAAUGUCAAUUCGAAAGCGAUGGUUAUUCGGACAUAUAAUGUGUAUUCCAAUACGAAGCAUAUUCGGAUUGCUUCAUGAUUAGCCAAUGGCUUGUUGUCGAACACAUGCUCUUCGCAUAGCCUUGUGCUUAUUAGUAAUUUUGAUAUUUUUACAAUAUAUGUAUGGCUCCCGACUUGGAGCUGUUGACAAUUUGAAUAUUACCAAUGUGUCAGCUCCAUCGCAAUGGCCAAAGCGGACUCACACAAGACCCAUUUAUUUAAGUACUGUCAAUAUCAGCACAACAGUGCCUGUGAUUUUAGGAAAUAUUUCAUACAAUAUAAACAGCACAAAUACCAUUAGCCACUUAAGUAAUAAUAAUUUAAAUAUUGAUGAUAAUAUAACUCACAAUAAUAUUAGUAAUAUGACUGUGAUUAGUCCAAGAGAUACAUAUAGUUACAAUAGUACACUUAAAAAUUCUAUAAUAUUAGUAAAACUUUCAAAUAAUAUGAGUGCUUUGAUAACUCCACAAUCUGUUGUUGAUAACAGAAUGCUAAAAUGCCCUCCGGUUCCCCCUAACUUAGAGGGUCCCAUAUCUGUGAACACUAAUCCUACGGAUAUAAAUAAAUUAACAUCAAAAUUGAAGCAUUUACUAAGUCCGGGAGGAUGCUAUAAUCCAAAGGAAUGUGUAGCAAGAGAUAAAGUUGCAAUUAUUGUACCUUAUAGAGAUCGAGCUGAACACCUAUCAAUCUUUUUGAAUAAUUUACAUCCUUUUCUUAUGAAACAGCAAAUAUAUUAUCAAAUAUAUAUUAUUGAACAAAAUCAAGGGUCAGUUUUUAAUCGUGCAGCUCUACUAAAUGUGGGCUAUGUGGAGGCUCUUAAAGAGCGGCAUUGGGAUUGUUUUAUAUUUCAUGAUAUUGACCUUCUGCCAUUAGAUGACAGAAAUCUGUACAACUGUCCAGAUCAGCCCCGACAUAUGAGUGUUGCAGUAGACGUAUUCAAAUACAAAUUGCCAUACUCAGAACUAUUCGGUGGUGUAUCAGCGUUAACCACUGAGCAAUUUAAAAUAGUAAAUGGAUUUUCUAAUAUGUUUUGGGGUUGGGGAGCUGAAGAUGAUGAUAUGGCUAGCAGAAUAAAACACCAUGGUUAUCAUAUCGCUCGUUAUCCUUAUGACAUAGCAAGAUAUUCUAUGUUAACUCAUGUGAAACAAAAAGCUAAUCCAAAAAGGUAUGAUGUAUUGAAUCAAGGAAAAAAAAGAUACGACUCAGAAGGGUUGAAUAGUUUGCAAUAUACUCGUUUAAAAUUAGAACAAAGAGCAUUAUAUACUUGGAUUCUGGUAGAACUCACACCUGCACAUGUUAGUUGAUGGAGGGCAUUGGCGCCUCGUUGGCCAGAUUAAGCUCUUUUGAAAUUUAUAUAUUGAAAACUAUUAAAUAGUUUCAAUAUUGCAAAUAUCUGCAUAGAAUGCGGAGUAGUUAGGAAUGAAAUAAUAAGAAUCUGAGUGGAUUUAAGAGAAUAUAACUAUAAUUUAAGUUACUUUUUAUGUGGCUGCUCAUGUUAAAGGUGCAAAGUUCGUGCUAUUUCCGUGAGAACAAAGUGCGCUCUCCCUUUGUCAAUAAGGGCAAGAUACAUUUCGUACAGAAUUGCCAAAGCUGUCAUUUGUUUACCACGGCUGAGAUCUAAGACCUGUUCCUCUGUACAACGAAUACCGAUCAGUAACAGCCAGCAGGCGACGCGCCGUUGGUUGGCGUACAUGUCGUU